This 1467-nucleotide long non-coding RNA is filed under the name Panax ginseng (ginseng). RNAcentral's name for it is "long non-coding RNA (PGIN_LNC005415)". Lineage: Eukaryota; Viridiplantae; Streptophyta; Magnoliopsida; Apiales; Araliaceae. The record is from RNAcentral.
AAUAAGAAAACCUAAAAUAAAAGACAAAUAACUGCCAUAAUUAAUAAUUCAAAUUCAAAUAUUUGGAUCUAACAACAAAAACAAAUUCAAAUUCAAAACAAAUUCAAAUUCAAAUAUUCAAAUUCAAAACUUCAUCUCCCUUUCCAUAUUUUUUCUCUCCUUUAUAACUAAGAAAUUCCAUCUAGGUCGUUCAUGGUGUAUGUGUAGCAGAUCUGAAUCUGCAUCUUCCAUUCUCUAAAAUAACUUCAGAUUUCUCUCCAAUACAUGAUUAGGGUACUGAUAUAUGAAAGACUUUUUCACAUUCUGCAACCAAUGUAACAAAAUUAGUAAUUAUUCGUGAUCACCAUAUGCUAAAUAGCCAGACAAAACACGAACAACAAAAACAGAACAAAUAGAAGAAGAAGUAGCCGAACAAUUUUUUUUUAGAAUAUUUAGUUACCCACAAAAACUAAAAUGGUUACCUUUGUAUGAAAAUUUGGCUACCAACUGCACCAUAUUAUCGAUUUCAUUCACUCAUUCAUCUCUUUUGGAGAAAGCACGAAAAAGAAAAAUAGAAAAAGAAACCAUUCUUCAUGCGUAUAAGUUUUCAUGCUCGUCAGUUUUGUGAUAUCAACCACAAGAAAAAUGACCCUAAAUAUUACAAAGUGGAAAGUGAAGAAUUGGUAACUCAAUUCAGUGUUAUAAGAGAGUGAUGUGUAAUGUAAUAUUGAUAACCAAACGUUUAUAUCAAGGUAACAAAACAUUUAUACCAAGGUAACUAAACAUUUACACCAAGGUAACCAAAAUACCUCCACAUCUGUAGUAUAAAUUGGUCACCUUGGUCUGAAAGUUUGGCAACCAACUGCAUGAAAGUUUGGCUACCAACUGUAUCACAUUUAAAAAUAAAUUGGUAACUUAAUAACACUGAAUUGGUUACCUUGGUAUGAAUAUUUGGCUACCAAUUGUACUCUGAAAAAAAUAUCAAACAAAAUCUGCCUUUUAGCCAACUGAAAAAUAUCAAAUUCUUUUCAAAGUAUGCUUGUUUUUUGCAAAUAAACCUCAUAACUCAAAAGUUGCUGUGUUUUCAUAAUUAAUCUCGCUUUUUCUCUCUCCAAUUUCAUGUCUUCAAGUUGUCAUGGUUGGAAAUGUAAGGACAGAAGUUAUGGAAUAAGGGGUAUUGUGAACAGUAGAGAGCAAGAAGAAAGCAUUUAACCCGCUUCUCUAUUGCCUUCUUAAUCGUCAAAGUGAGAAACCGGAGAGGGAGAAAGCGGAAGGAAUAUCUGCUGUGUAACCGAAUCAAUGGCCACCAAACUAUAUAUCGUGUAAGUACUUCUAAUCAAUGGUCUAGGUUUGGAAGAAGAGUUUAUUAUGAUUCCAGAUCUUGGGGUGUGGUAGGGUUGAUGAGGAGAGAGAAUAAGAGAGAAGAAAGGAAAUACCGAAAUGGUGAGGAAGUAGGUGAGAGAGGAAGUGGGUGGAAUAAGGGGUACU